This 479-nucleotide long non-coding RNA is filed under the name Homo sapiens (human). RNAcentral describes it as "long non-coding RNA NONHSAT248746". Lineage: Eukaryota; Metazoa; Chordata; Mammalia; Primates; Hominidae. The record is from RNAcentral.
CUGACAAAUGUGCAUUUAAGCAACAACAGUCAAUUUUCCAGGAAACAUCUUUAUAGCAUAUUUUGAGUGGACCUUUUGAAUAAAGCAAUCAGAAAUGUUUGUUAUGACAAUGGAUAAUAAAACUGCCACUUGAAAGAAACUAGCAAUUGAGAGGGAGCAGCUUGACCAAAUAUGAAGAAGGUAAAAAAAUUCCAAUGGCUUGCUUUCACUGCCAGAGUAUCUGAAACACACUAAGAGCACUGUCAAGGGAGCUAUUCUUGAAUUUUAAUUCAGGUCCCCAACAUGUGUCUGUCUCUUGGUUUACUUGGGAGAAACCCUGAAGGCUCAGAUAGUCUUUGGAAUAAGGUCACUGUAGAAGACUGACAAGGGGUCCCUGGAUGAUAGAGAGGGCAGACAAUCCCUUCUCUCAUCAGUCAAUGGUGGCUGGUGGCUGUUAUUCACCCUUCUGAGAAACAGGACAAAACUGAUAAACUUCAAGA